UCUAUGGUGCGGUCGGGCGAACUGAUUAGAAGCUUGCUUCUAUGACGUUAGCGGCGGACGGGUGAGUAACACGUGGGCAACCUGCCUGUAAGACUGGGAUAACUUCGGGAAACCGAAGCUAAUACCGGAUAGGAUCUUCUCCUUCAUGGGAGAUGAUUGAAAGAUGGUUUCGGCUAUCACUUACAGAUGGGCCCGCGGUGCAUUAGCUAGUUGGUGAGGUAACGGCUCACCAAGGCAACGAUGCAUAGCCGACCUGAGAGGGUGAUCGGCCACACUGGGACUGAGACACGGCCCAGACUCCUACGGGAGGCAGCAGUAGGGAAUCUUCCGCAAUGGACGAAAGUCUGACGGAGCAACGCCGCGUGAGUGAUGAAGGCUUUCGGGUCGUAAAACUCUGUUGUUAGGGAAGAACAAGUACGAGAGUAACUGCUCGUACCUUGACGGUACCUAACCAGAAAGCCACGGCUAACUACGUGCCAGCAGCCGCGGUAAUACGUAGGUGGCAAGCGUUAUCCGGAAUUAUUGGGCGUAAAGCGCGCGCAGGCGGUUUCUUAAGUCUGAUGUGAAAGCCCACGGCUCAACCGUGGAGGGUCAUUGGAAACUGGGGAACUUGAGUGCAGAAGAGAAAAGCGGAAUUCCACGUGUAGCGGUGAAAUGCGUAGAGAUGUGGAGGAACACCAGUGGCGAAGGCGGCUUUUUGGUCUGUAACUGACGCUGAGGCGCGAAAGCGUGGGGAGCAAACAGGAUUAGAUACCCUGGUAGUCCACGCCGUAAACGAUGAGUGCUAAGUGUUAGAGGGUUUCCGCCCUUUAGUGCUGCAGCUAACGCAUUAAGCACUCCGCCUGGGGAGUACGGUCGCAAGACUGAAACUCAAAGGAAUUGACGGGGGCCCGCACAAGCGGUGGAGCAUGGGCUUUAAUUCGAAGCAACGCGAAGAACCUUACCAGGUCUUGACAUCCUCUGACAACUCUAGAGAUAGAGCGUCCCCUUCGGGGGACAGAGUGACAGUGUGCAUGCUUGUCGUCAGCUCGUGUCGUGAGAUGUGGUUAGUCCCGCACCGAGCGCACCCUUGAUCUAGUGCCAGCAUUCAGUUGGCACUCUAAGGUGACUGCCGUGACAACCGAGAAGGUGGGGAAUGACGUCGAUCAUCAUGGCCUUAUGACCUGGCUACACGGUCUACAAUGGAAUGGUACAAGCUGUCACAAGAACUCGCGAAGGACUCAGGCCACAAUUCCGU
Molecule: ribosomal RNA, 1237 nt
Filed under: Bacillus sp. (in: firmicutes)
Lineage: Bacteria; Bacillati; Bacillota; Bacilli; Caryophanales; Bacillaceae
Description: bacterial SSU rRNA
Rfam family: Bacterial small subunit ribosomal RNA
Source: RNAcentral